This is a non-coding RNA of Podarcis lilfordi (Lilford's wall lizard), 15478 nucleotides long. The record is from the annotation of a GenBank genome assembly. NCBI's taxonomy places the organism in Eukaryota, Metazoa, Chordata, Lepidosauria, Squamata, Lacertidae.
CAGCCAUCGAUGAGGAGCAAAGGCAAGGAAACAUGGGACAGGAUGUCAUUGCAGUACAAGUAACUGUGCCUGAACACUGUGAGCAGAGGGGAGAGAACUCAACUGCCAUUGUGGCAGUGGAAAACAUCAUUGUAUAUCCUUGCAUUGUGUCGAAUAGUACUUCUUUUUAUCUGUGCUGAUCCUUCUCCCAAUCAAUUUCACUAGAGGACCCCUUUCUAUUAUUAAAUGAGAAAUGGAUGUGGGGGGGGGAUCUCUGCUCAUUUUCUCCACAGCAUUCAUGAUUCUCUCAGCCUCUCUUAUGCCCUCCAUUGUUUAAAGUUUUUUUAACAAAGGGGGGAAACAGCUCCAAAUGCUUUCGAUGAAUCCAAAACCACGUAAAUCACAAGGCGCUGGUAAUUAGCCCAUGCUAAUGACACUGUAGUUAAGACUGUUUGAAUAUUUUCAUUAUAAUGCCUACCCCCUUUUUCGUCGGAAAUGAAAAGACUGGAGAUAAAUAUUGGUUGUUGUUCACAUGAAGAAAAUUUGCAUGCAAAGGACCAGAACCACACUCAGUCUCUCUGGUUUUAAUCACAGUCAUUGAAAUCACUGCUAAAAACGAGAGCAAGGAAAAAAUCACCUCGACAUCUUAGGCUUCAUUUUAACUACCGUAUUUUUCACACUAUAACACGCAUCCGACCAUAACACGCACGUAGUUUUUAGAGGAGGAAAACAAGAAAAAAAAUAUUCUAAACGAAACAGUGGAUGUAUGAUUUUUGUAGUUCAUGCUGUGGCCACAGACAUGUGAUCUGACAGGGAGUUUGGAGUAGCCCAAUGCAAAAAUCCUGAGGAUCCAUGUGGAUCCAUGCUUUGUAAACACGUUUUGUACCACUGAGGCCCCAGGCAACAGUUGGUGCAUGAUUUUUUUGGUGCAAGAUGUAGCCAUGGACAUGCUAUGUGAUCUGAUGGUGAAUUUGGGGUGACCCAGUGCAAAAAUCCUGAGGAUCCAUGUGGAUCCAUGCUUUGUAACCACGUUUUAAGUGGGGAGGGAAGGAAAAGCACUCAAGGGACAAGGAGCACGCGUGGGGUGUGUGGAGAAGGAUGCUGCUAAUAAUGCAGAAGAGGGGUAUAAGAGGAGAAGGCUCCUCUCCUCUCCCACUUUGCUCCUUUAAAGAAGCAGGCUCUCUGUCCCCCUCUCCUCCCCACUCAGCGGCUCUUCUCCCGGCUCUUCUCCCGCUUUGCCGUUUCAAAGCGAGCCACAGAGGAGGGAAGGAAGGGGAACCAUGGAUCCUCUGCUCACGACUGCAGCAGAUCCCCCCCCGCCACCCGUAGGCAUUCCCUCCAUAACACGCACAGACAUUUCCCCUUACUUUCUAGGACGAAAAAAGUGAGUGUUACGGUGCAAAAAAUACGAUAGUUUUUUAAUGCAGUUUUCAAUACAGCUGAAAGAAAUAGCUAUAGAGAAGCAGUAACGAUUGUCCGCCCCUCUUUCUUGGUGAAAACAGAGCAAGAGACUGAGAGUCGCUUCAUGCAUUAUGUUUUUGGCGCACACCUUAAAACAUAAGCAUACUUCUUUAAAAAGUGAGUAUGACAAAAACAUGGGCUUUAUACAGAUUCCACACCUUAAAGAGUCGUUAUUUGCUGCUGCUUCCUUGAUGAGUUCAAGAUGCUUUUCUGCAAAAACAUGUGAAAUGGAUAGCUAUAUUUCCUUGUUUGUGGGAUCCAAAGAGAGGAAACAAAAGAGCAGAGAAUAGCAAAUGAAAGCUUUGUUUCUUUUGUACACCAAUAAAAUGGUUGACAUGGAAGUCAGUGUGGUUAAUUCAAGUCAAUAGAAAGCUGCACUAGACCUACAGAGACCCAGAGAUUCAAGUAUCUUCUCAGCCAUGAAGCUCAGCUGAGGUGACUUUGGCCCAGUCAGUUUCCCUCAGCCAAAUUCACCUCACAGUUAUUUUGAGGACACAUUAUGAAACUCUAAGGGGACAGGAGGGCAGGAAACACCUCAUAAACAACCCUGAGCAGCUUGGAGGGUGGGCAGAAUAAAUAUUGUAAUAAUUAAAUGACCAAAGGAAGGAAAUGUGAUUGUUUUCUGUAAUGGAACAGAUCUUAUGUAAUGCAGGUUAUAGUAUGAAGAGGAAUUUCUCUCUCAGCAACUUAUGUGCUGCAGGCAAAACAAUAUAUCCUUUUUCCUAUGUUAUUGAGUGCUAAGUCUUUUCUGCCUUAACCACUUGGCAAGUUCACCAUCUGUAUGAAAUAAUCUGUGGCAGGUGACCUCCAAUAGGAAAAUCCUUGCAGCUAGAGCUGCUUUUUAAGGAGCAGCUUGUCUCAGACCCUCCAAGUGCCCCUAUUUUCCAGGGACAUCCCUAAUGUCUACAAGCUGUCCCAGUUUCCGAUUUGAUCCCAGAAUGUCCCACUUUUCCUUAGUAAGUCCCUAUUUUCAUUGGAGGGUUUGGUAGAAUGUCCCUAUUUUCAUUGGGAAAAUGUUGGAGGGUAUAUGGUGUUAUCUGCCAACUGAAGGCAGUCUUGUAUAGGGAAGUUUUUUUAAAAAAAUGUUUAAUGUUUUAUUGUGUUUUAUAUAUCUUGGAAGCUACCCAGAGUGGCUGGGGCAACCCAGUCAGAUGGGCAGUUAUCAGCCUGAUGGUGCCUCAGGUAGUUCCACUUGGAGAUCUCUUCUUACGAAGGUUUUGAUCUGAUGCACGGUUGCCCAUAGGAAUGCAUUGAAAAUCAAUUAAUGCGGUCCUUGGGAAACCUUCAGACAGGUCAGGGACAGUCUGUCCCGGACCUCUCUGAAAGCUGGGGAGCAUGGGCUUUCUUCCCACCCCCAGCAUUUUAAAAACCCGGGACAGCGGGGACUUCUCACUGUCAGCAUUAAAUGCUGGCAUUGGGCGGCAUUUAAAAAAUCACCCCGGGACAUGGCGGAGGACUUCUCCGCUGUCAGGAAUUAAAGCCCUGGGAAGGCAGGCAGGGGAACAAGCUUUGCCCCGCCCAGCCUUCAGAAGAGGUCUGGACCCUCUUCUGAAGGCGGCGGCCAAUGCUCCCCGCAGCCUAACCCUCGGGACGGGCGGGCAGGGGAGCAGGCUCGCCCCCGCCCGCCUCAGAAGGUCUUCCACCUCCCCAUGCCCGGCCGGGCACCGUUCAGAAGCCGGGAGGCGGUCUUCCCUCCCCCCCGCCCGGCCGGGCACCGUUCCCGAAGCCGGGCGCUUUGGCAGUGUUCCCUCCCCGCCCGGCCGGGCUGCGUUCCCGGCCGGGCGGCAGAGGGUCUUCCCCUCCCCACCGCCCGGCCGGGCACCGUUCGAAGCCCGGGUGGCCAGCAGUGUUCCCUCCCCCGCCCGGCCCGGGCACCGUUCCCGAAGCCGGGCGGCAGGUGUUCCCUCCCCGCCCGGCGGAGGAGCCUUCCGGCCCGGCGGCGGCGGGAAGGAGGUGUCCCCGCCCCGCCGCCAGGCGGAGGGAGGUCCGAGGACAGUGAGAGGGCACUGCUUCCCCGCUGGCUACGUUUCCUGAGGCUGUAAGGCCCUUAGAAGUCGUUUCUGGCGCCUCAAAAUGAAACCCUUUCGUCUAGCGGGUUUCCGUCUUCUGUCGUCUGCGAAUUACACUGUAGUAAAAUUAUCCUUAUGGAAUGGAAAGUCCCUGUUUUUAUCGGAGAAAUGUUGGAGGAUAUGUUGUCUUCCAUGCCUCUACAUCAUAGUUUUCAGAUUUUAAGUUCAAGGUUCCUGUUCCAAGUGCUGUUUAUUUGUUUUCAUGUUCAGAACAAGGUAUGGUGGGACCUGAGGUCAGCUCAGGUGCCCCUGCUGCCCCUCUUCGCCCUUCCCUCCCUUGCUUGUCCCACGCCAUCCUGCUCUGCAACCUCACUCUCACUCCUGCUCCUGCCAACCUAGCAGUUUGAAAGCACGUCAAAGUGCAAGUAGAUAAAUAGGUACCGCUCCGGCGGGAAGGUAAAUGGCGUUUCUGUGUGCUGCUCUGGUUUGCCAGAAGCGGCUUAGUCAUGCUGGUCACAUGACCCAGAAGCUGUACGCCGGCUUCCUCGGCCAGUAAAGCGAGAUGAGCGCCACAACCCCAGAGUCGGUCACGACUGGACCUAAUGGUCAGGGGUCCCUUUACCUUUACCUAACUGAAGCAGAUUAAAGUGCCCCAUCGCCCUAGCACAACAAAACCACUUAAUAACAACAGACUUUUGCAAGUUUGGAAAGUGUCAUGGAAAUGCAGUGAAAAUGGAUUCCAAGGGGUUUAGGCAGCAGCAGCUGAGCCUGAGUAAGGAAGGAGGCAGCAACUUGAAACGUAAGCUAGCAAAAUGGUGGUGAGCAGCCCUGCAAGUGGCUAAAGGCAGCAGCAAAUGUGUCAGGAUCACUUGUCUACCACCCUUUUGAUCUGCCACCUGAGGCAGGGAUCUCUACUUACCUAAUGGAAGAGCCGGUCCUGUAUAUCGUGAAAUAUUUAUUUUUGUGAUUUAUUUUUAAUAUUCUGUUAAGGUUUGGCUUGACUUGAGAGGAACACCUUGUUAUAUUAAUACAUCUUUAAAUAAUAAUAAUAAUAAUAAUAAUAAUAAUAAUAAUAAUAAUAAUUUAUUUAUACCCCGCCCAUCUGGCUGAGUUUCCCCAGCCACUCUGGGCGGCUCCCAAUCAAGUGUUAAAAACAGUACAUUCAUAUGUGCUUUAUUUCAGAUUAAGCAAACUGUCUGUUUGUUGAUGAGAUUGCCAUAUCUCUCAAGUUACAGUUUUGGGUGUGUUGUAUACCGAAAGGGCUGGGUGGGGUUGUACGUGUUUAAUUCUUGAUUUGAAAGUGUGAAAUUACAUGCAAUAGAUGGCUUCACAAGCUCAAAAUUUAAAAGCCUUUUUUACCCCCCUAAGAGGAUGUGGGUGGGAGGACAACUCCGGAAAGAUGAGGAAAUCUGUUAUUGACCUCUUUGAAGCAACACUAUUCUGAGAGUUCCCAACAUGGUUACUUUGGCAAACUAUGCCAUGAGACGACAUGUUAAUUGUGGGCACUCUGACUCUCAGAGGUGGGGGAACUGGCAAGAGAAGAAAGCGAAGUGCUUAAGGUAAGAGUUUGUAACAUUUCACAGAACCUCUGGGGGAAUACGGAACUCAAGAAUCAAUGGACCUCUGGUUGAAAUACCCUGCCCUAAACAAAGAACCAGAGAAUAGUGAAAGCAUUGCAGCCAUAGAUGGAGGUAUGGGACUUCAUUGUUUAGCAACAAGGUAAAGGUAAAGGGACCCAUGACCAUUAGGUCCAGUCGUGGCCGACUCUGGGGUUGCGGCACUCAUCUCGCUUUAUUGGCCGAGGGAGCCGGCGUACAGCUUCCGGGUCAUGUGGCCAGUAUGACUAAGCCGCUUCUGGCGAACCAGAGCAGCACACGGAAACGCCGUUUACCUUCCCGCCAGAGCAGUACCUAUUUAUCUACUUGCACUUUGACGUGCUUUCGAACUGCUAGGUUGGCAGGAGCAGGGACCGAGCAUCGGGAGCUCACCCCGUCGCGGGGAUUCGAACCGUCGACCUUCCAAUCGGCAAGUCCUUGCAUGAAAGUGGCCUCCCAAUUUUUCUCACAGGCCCAUAUAAGUUCAGCACAAACAGUUGGGCCUGGUGAGCAUUUAAGGUCCCCAACCCUAAUCUGUGGGUUGCCAUCCGAUUGGAUUUUAUUCUGAUCCUGAUCUGAUUUGAGGAUGUAUUUUAAUUGAUUGUCUGAUUUUAUGUUAAUGUAUUAUACAUUUGAUGUUAGCCACUCUGAGCCCGCCUUUGGCUGGGGAGGGUGGGAUAUAAAUAAAAUUUAUUAUUAUUAUUAUUAUUAUUAUUAUUAUUACUAGGCUCUGUGGUUUAACCCUCAGCGACACCCGCGUCCCAUAUUAUCACAGUACCUUUCUAUAAAGGAAACUCACCUGGUAAUGAGCAGAAAUGGCUUCAUUUUGACAGAGUUGGUAAACCUCUGUCUGGCAUGUACCAGUUCAAACUGUAGCGGGGCAGAAUCAGAUAAUUGAUUGUUCCUCCAGGCAAGCCCUCCCUGCACAUAGGAAACUAGCAAGUCAGGGAGAAGACAAGGCUAAAACUCGUUUCCACAAUACCUAGUUUUCAUGAUAGGUUAUGCAUUUUUUGACCACUUUCCCCAUCUGCAGUCUGAAGUGGUGUGGCCUUGAUACUGGUUAACCGCUGCAGUGAGACCUAAUUUUCAGACAAACUGGUGAUUCUUUCUCUCUUUUAAAACUGGAAUUUUCUGCUAGUUGUCCACUCAAUAUAUAAAAGCAUAUCGAGACAUUGACUUUGGUUUUGUCUUUUGAGGAUUCCAGAGUCUGCAAUUGUAAUGUGUUACAUUUGUUAAUACAAGAGUCACCCAGUAUCAUUGGCUACUGGACAAUGAAUGCUUUGCUUUAUAAACAAUUUCUCUCUUUCUCUUUAAGUUUACACAUCAGAAAUUUGAAACAGAAGAACUGAACUCUGCUGAGAGGCUUGCUUUGUCUUUUAUCUUCUGAAUCAUUGGUCAAGCUCACAAGGGUGUUCCAAAGUCUUUUUAAAAGCUAAUUGACUUAUAAGUGGUUUUCUUUAAACAUAAAACCUGUCGAGCUCUUGAUUCUUAGGAACCCGGGAGGAUAGAUUUGGCCUGGCUUCCUGUGCGCCAGGGGUCUCUGAACCCUAGGAGAAUGCUUUGCAAAAUGAAUUGGGCCAUUCACAAAGAGGGUAUAUUUUAAAACCCAAUUGCCUUAAAAAGCUUCAUUUUGUAUUUUUAGCUCUUCCCUGAGCACAAGCACUCCUUGGGGACACUGCCAGAAGCCUGGACUGCAUUCAUCCUUUGAUUUCCUUAAACCUUUGUGUAUUUACGCUUAAUAACCAACAUUAGUGACAUUAAAAUUCUACUCACUGCAAGCAGCAAAUAAUCCAUUCUUGCCUCCUUUUUCCUUUGAUAACUGACCUUUAAUAUAGAUCCAAGCUUAAACUCUCCAAACAGUCAUUUGCACACUCUCGCAGUAACAUUCAUCACUAUUUUCAGAUAAUUGCCCAGACACAUCAGUCAAGAGUUGGAUCCUAUAUGAAAGAAAAGCAGAGAUCCAGAGUGAAAGAUUAGGGCUUGGGCAAUUUUUAAGUGAAUUUCAACUAAGGACAAACAUCUCCCUGAUAUUUUAUUGAGGUCAGUACUUAGAUGGAUAUAAUUAAAGGUAUAUAACUACUAGCGCAGCACUGACUAUUUGCCAUUUUUAAUUUUGGGGUCAACACUAGCACUUUCUCCCCGAACUAUCUAGAAUGUGAGAAUGCUCACCUUUAUUUUCAAUCCUGUUCAGUGCUGUUGUUUUCCCAAACUACUGCUGCUGCAACUGGUUUUUCCUUUGGCUGACACUCCUUUUUGCUUCUUGGAUUAGUCACAUGUGAUAGUUCCACACAAUUGGAGAUUGUGUUUUAAUACUAUGUGUGUGAUGAUGCUACAGACAGCAAGUGAAGAUUAUUGAGAGUGGUGGCAAGCGAGGGCAAUUCUGGUGUUUGGGGAACCAUUUUUACAAGGCAUGCCAAAAAGUUCCUAAGAAAAGGAGAGAGCUUUUGACAUUGCCAAAACCACAUGUGGGGGAGAGAAAUUGCUUUCAACUCAGUGCCAACAUUCUAGAACAACACAAAGAACUCAUAACCCACCUCCUCUCAGCAACCAGAAACAUCAUAGCCAGACACUGGAGAGACCUGUCAGGAGUAGGCAUGGACCAAUGGUACCAAAUAGUAUGGGAAACAGCCUUACUAGAAAAAUUAACCAAUAAACUGAAACUGACACGGGGAUAAAUAGAAGAAGAUGCCUUCACCCUGGUAUGGCUCCCCUUUAUCAUAUACACAGCCCAACAAGACAAUGACAAGAAUCCACCAACAACAUAUGAAUCAAUAUGGCUAACCUGAUUCAAAAACACCCACCCACCCCACUCACACACGAAAACAAAGUUCAACACAGCCAAUCACAAACAAACAACCACACCCUAGGCCAACCCCAACCUCUCUCACCACCAAAGGAACACAAGCGAAUAGCAAAGAGAACCCGCACAAACAACGCUGACACAAAACCCCACAUAUAUUAAGUAAAAUAGAAACAUUGCCACCUGACCCCACCCCCACUCACCUUUCCCCCCUCCACCUCUUCCCCCCUUUUCUUCCUAAUGUAUCCCUAAUGUCUCAACAAAUGAAACUGACCUGUGGAAAAUGUAACUUUUCCAUAGAAAAAAGAGACAUUGCACAUACCUUUGUCAACCAAGAAAACUUUAAUAAUAAUAAAUAAAUAAAUAAAUAAAACAACACCUAAGCAAGAAGCCAGCCUAACAUAAAUUCUUCCAAUAUUUAUUUCAUUUUAUUUGUUUCUUCAUUCUAUCCUAAAUGUUUAGGAUGGGUGAUAAUACAGAAGUACGUAGUUCUGGUGACAUCUCUCAAGAUAAUCCAUAAAAAAGAACCUGGAUUUGCAAUAUUAAGUGUGCCGUAAGAAUGUCCACUGGUCUAAAGAGUUAUCCGUUCUUGGUUGGACUGGGGAGUUACUUCCUUGCUCAGCCAUGAAAUUACCCAAUGGCCUUUGGUAAGUCACUGUCUAACCUACCUCCCAGGUAUGCCGUGAAGACUAAAUGCAAAAAAAAACAUUGGAUAUUCUCGAUCUGGAGUUCCCUAGGAAGAAUGGUGGAAGUUUAAAAAAAGUAAAUAAAAUGCUUCUUUGUAGCUGAUUAGCAAGCAGUUCACCUCACUGAGUCUGCCUGCAUUUCAGGAAAACAUUUGUGUGCUUCCAUUUUUGGAACUGAAAGCAGUUGAUUACAUGGAUAUUUGUUACCGCCACAUAUUACUGCAAUACAUAGAGAGGGGUAAAUUUUGGCCUUCUUUAUGAUGUUAAAAUUCUAUUUACGGUACUCAAUACAAACUAAUGAUUAAAGGAAAUACCAGUAAGCGAUCAAUUGUUGGCAUUCCAACGUGCUCGAUAGAUUACUUAUGACCAAUCUGCUAAUUGCAAUGUGUGACUCAAGCCGCUCACUUAUAAUAUGUAGCAGUAAUGUAGUUCUUUAAACAAACAUGUUUAGCAUUAUGGAUUCCCUGUUAAGUGGGAUGUUUUCUUGGGAACUGAAGUAGUUUCUCUCAUAUAUAUAUCUUUUAUAUAAUAAGGCAACAGUCAGUGCAAGGCCAGUUCCUUCCCUAGCAGAAAUGGAGACCGCAGUGCAACAGAGAGUUACUUGUCAGGCCUCGAUAAAAUGAAUGGCAACUGUAUUAUAGCACAGUGGAUGGAAUCACACCUUUUACACUGCCCCCAAGCACUGGUGGAGGAAGAGGAGUGAGGGGGGAGAGCACCACCCCUGGCAGUGCGAUCCCCAGGUUGCCAUCGCGGCUGCCCCCCUGCCCAUGCUGGGCACCCCGCCCCCAGGAUGCACGCCAGCCCCGCCACCGCCUGCUCUCCACCCCCCACCCCCCCGGUGCCAGAGCAUGAAGCUCCACCACUACCCCCAAGAGCUCACCGAAAAGCCCAUCUUGGUUUCUAAAAUAUAGCAUGACUUUUUGAGGUACGUACAGUGGUACCUCAUGUUACAUACGCUUCAGGUUACAUACGCUUCAGGUUACAGACUCCGCUAACCCAGAAAUAGUGGUUCAGGUUAAGAACUUUGCUUCAGGAUGAGAACAGAAAUUGUGCUCUGGCGACGCAGCGGCAGCAGCAGGAGGCCCCAUUAGCUAAAGUGGUGCUUCAGGUUAAGAACAGUUUCAGGUUAAGUACGGACCUCCGGAACAAAUUAAGUACUUAACCCGAGGUACCACUAUAUUAGAAUCCAGCCUGACCUUGGCUGUAGUCACACCCCCAACAUACCCUCAUGUUCCUCCCACCAGUAGAUUUUGGUGUUAUGAGUGUGUGCGCACAAGGAUAGCACCUUUGCAGAGAGAGAGAGAGAGAGAGAGAGAGAGAGAGAGAGAGAGAGAGAGAGAGGCUUCUACCCACACAGUUUGGUUUCCUAGAAAGCUUACAAGAUGAUGCAUAUGUCAGGAAGUGAAACCACAUGGGCAGAUGUUUUCGUGCCUAUCCAAAGCAGAGACUGCCACAACCAUGUCAAGAAAUGUACAAACGAAGUGGGUUUCAGACAGCCAGGCUGAGUCACAUCAGUUUCAUUUUAACAAAAGGAAAAAUGUAUUCUGGAAGAGUUUCCUGCAUACCAAUCAACAGAAGUUUCUAGUCCAUUAAAAUGUUUUGUUUGCUUAUAAGGCUUAUGUGCCUCCUUUCAGGACAAAGCACACUCGAAGUGGAUUAGGAAAUAUCAUUUGCUUCAAAUGCACAGAAGGAACAUUUGGCUUCCAAUAAGUUUUAUAGAACAAGCCACUUGCAAUGCUUCUAGUCCAGGCCUGCAGUAGCUUCCUUUUAUCAAUCCACCUGUCACUCAUAAUGGCUGGUCAAUUCAGCAAAGUUGUCCCCACAGGCCAUAUGCCUUCCUCCGCCCUCAUUCUACUUCCUGUCAUGGAUAAUCUGAUGUCUUGGUCCAUGCUUUUCUAGUUCUAAUAGUGGGCAGGUUUUGGAAUUUGAACAGUGCUCCUUUUCAGGUAUAACUGCCUUGACUUUCUGUUCCCACCAACCAUCCACAUCUGCAUGAUCGACAGUAAUUGAGCAGAUCACAGAGUUGGGUCUAUUUGCUCAACGUUGCCUUUUUGUGCCCACAUUCAUUAUCAUCAUCAUAAUAAAUUUUUAUUUAUAUCCCGCCCUCCCCAGCUGAGUCCGGGCUCAGGGAGGCUAACAACAAUAAAAUAAUACAAUCAUUUCAUUAAAAAAUUACUUCAAAUCAAAUUGAUGGCAACCAUUGGGCUAGAGUUCUGUGAAGAUUGCCAAAGAAGGGAGUCAGGCUGUGCCAUGGCCAAAGGCUUGGCGGAACAGCUCUGUCUUGCAGGCCCUGCGGAAAGAUGUCAAGUCCCGCAGGGCCCUAAUCUCUUGUGGCAGAGCGUUCCACCAGAUCGGAGCCGCAGCCGAAAAAGCCCUGGCUCUGGUUGAGGCCAGCCUAACCUCUCUGUGGCCACAUUCAUAAUGUGAAAGGAAAAGGAAAGAACUGUCUCUCCCCACCCCCCGCUCUCUCUCUCCUGGUUUGGCAAAAGCUUCUUCCGCCUGGCAGUCUGGAGGAGAGUCUUCAGCAUCACAGGGACCAGGCUUAGCCUCAUGUAAACAGAUUUCCAUGCAAUAGAUCUCCCAAGCUUCCUCACCUCCGGGUGAAAGUGACCCUGUACAGACUGCUCAGAGCUUCCUAUACCUUGGAGGAAGAUGAGCUCUAAAAAAAUAAAAAGCAGUGUCUUUGAUAUGUUGUGCGUUCAGGAUCACUGGCAGGUUCAAUAUUAGAGACAGGAAAAAGCACUGAACAGACAAGACAGAUAGUUGUUUGGUUUGACAGCACUCCAUCAUGCACUCCAGCACAGUCUGCAAAAAGGGGGGGCGGGCAAGUCCACAGGAGAAAAAGAGCCUGCCAUUUCAAAAAGAAGGAAAGAAGAAUCUCUUUCUAGUUCUUCAUUUUUCAUACAAGAAAGACAAAACGGAGGUCUUUUAAACAUAAAGGCUUGUUUCUCCCCUCCCAGCUUAACCACCUUGGCUUGCCAUUUGUAUUUUCCUGUCCGUGCCGCAGAAACCUUAAUAAACCUUAUGCUCCUAAGGUGGUGAGGUUGCAGCUGUUACAUUUCCAUCAUUCAAUCCUUUUUGGCUAGUUUCAGUCACUGUGAUUCUUUUGAAAAAUAAAUAAAGCAAAGCAAAGCAGCUGCUUUGUACUUUAUAUGUGAGACCCCUAUAUAAAUAAAAGCAAAACAUCCAUGUACCAUCCCUCAGAUUGUUAAAGAGAAACAGCAAUCCUAGCUUUGCCAAUUCAACUGGGGUUGGGUGAAGAGGCUGGCCUCUCAGCUACGUGGGGGCCAACAGGCAAGGCUAAGUCCUUUCCGGACAUUUUUACUGAAUAUACUAUGAAUGCAGGGAGCCAUCACAUUGGCAGUCUGUGUCCUGGAGGGACGCGGGUGGCGCUGUGGGUUAAACCACAGAGCCUAGGACUUGCUGAUCAGAAGGUCGGCAGUUCGAAUCCCCGUGACGGGGUGAGCUCCUGUUGCUCGGUCCCCGCUCCUGCCAACCUAGCAGUUCAAAAGCACGUCAAAGUGCAAGUAGAUAAAUAGGUACCGCUCUGGCGGGAAGGUAAAUGGCAUUUCCGUGCGCUGCUCUGUUUCGCCAGAAGCGGCUUAGUCAUCCUGGCCACAUGACCCGGAAGCUGUACGCUGGCUCCCACGGCCAAUAAAGCGAGAUGAGCGCCGUAACCCCAGAGUCAUUCACAACUGGACCUAACAGUCAGGGUCCCUUUACCUUUACCUUUACUAUGAAUGCAGGGAGCCAUCACAUUGGCAGUAUACAUUCAUUGCACUGUCUGAAAAGACCCCUGCACAUACAGUUGCAUGGAUGUCUACACAACUCCUCUCCUAGCGUUUGGAAACUCUGGAAAAACAGCAUUCCUCAGUGUGUACAGUUGUUUGUGUUGGCUUAGGUCUAUGAACCUCCCAAAAGGCAGCAGGGUGGCAUGGUUGAGCUGUAGGAAUAGAAGGUGAAGAAGGAACAGUUAAAUAAUAUUAAAUGAUUAUUUGUAAUGUGUUUAGCCCACCUUUCCACCCACACAGAAUGAUAAUUCACUAUCUUUUUUUAAAAACUGCUAAACAAAAAUCAAAAGUGGGAGGCAUACCAACUAGCAGAAACAGAAAGAAUCAGUUCAUACUAGGACAAACUUUAAUUAAAGCUUUUUCAGGAUUUAAUUAAAGAUUUUUCGGUACAUCUUAUCUUGUCUUCUUCCGCACUGCUGAAGUCCAGCCAGUAGAUUCAUCGCUAGUCUUUCUCCAUUGAUGUUCCAUCAACCAUCCUUGCUAUUGCAUUGCUUCAAGCUCUCAAACGACAACAACAAAACAGGUUGCUGAUCAGGCUCUUGCAGACAGGGGAGGAAGUGUAGGCUAGACCAUUUCGACCACCUAGAUCUUUGCUCCAUUUCAGAAGUCAGCUAGGUUCUCCGCGGGACCACCAGAUGUGGCAAAGAGAAAGUCCCUCAGAAUUAAAUUUAAAUGCAAAUGUAUUUGUAAUGGAUUUAGGGGUUGCUUGUGCGUAAGUUGCCGCCACUCCUGGCGAGGUUACCUGGUUAAACCCUUUCUGACUGAACAGCCUCCAGCAUCGUGACUGUCUCAGUCGCUGGCAGAAUCCGUCAGUGGGCGUUUCUUAAACUUCUUCCAGCACAAAAGUUCCUUGACGCCUAGACUCCGCCUAGACUCCCUGCGCGGAAGCCUUCUGCGCAGGGAGGGUGUGGGCAGCGGAGGACCCGUACUCUCUCCGCUGGUCUCUGGCGAGGAGUCUUGGAGCCUCCUCUCUUGGAUUCCCCCAUCUGCCCCCCUUCUCUACUGGUGUUACGCUGAUUUCCUUCCCCAGCGGACGGGCUGCCUCUCUCCCUACUGGGACCCUCUCCGCCAUCCCUCUGGAGCCUUCCCUCCGCCUCUAGCUCCGAUGGCAGUUCCCUGACAGUAUUGAUCCAUAAAAGUUGCUUUAAACAGUUUCAUUGUAUUAUUUAAAAAAAAAAUCUUCCUUGAUCCCACACUCUUCCCUUCCAGUAUUGCCACAACAAUUUUGUCCUACUCCAAAAUUGACCCCCUGCUUUAGAGGAAAAAAAUGCACAUUGUCUCUAGUUGAGUCCUUUAUCCAUCCAGCCACACACAUGUACGCACACAACAAAAGAGAACAUCAAAGGAGCAGGACAGUCGGGUAGAAGGAAAAUAAAAUAAGGAAGAGAGAGAAAAAAGAAAUGAACACAACAGUGUCACCCAUGUCCCAAGUGGGAAUGGCCAGGAAAGGCCACAGGGCAAUGGUGUAGGAGAAGGAAGAGGGUGAAAGCCCAAAGAGCCGGCCACAAUCGCUGAAGUAGAUUAUAUUCUCCUUUGGGCAUCUUUCGUAUUGACAUUUUCCAACAUGACUUUUGAAGUUCACUGUUUCGGUUUGGUAUUGGAUUUUCAUCUCCGUCUUGUAUUGGAUUUCAUCUCUGUCUUUUUGGAAUUCCAGAGUGGUGCUGUUAUCGUUCAGCUGAUAUUUCAUACAUUUUUAUAUAUCGUGUUGCCUUUGAGUUACCCAUUUUUGUGUUGGCUUUUCCUCUAAGAUGGGGCAUAUUCUAACAGGAUAUUUUGCUAUGGUGGGGCAUGUGGGUGUGUCACACAUACCUGUUUCUGUUUUUCAUAAACUUCCUUAAGCUCCAUCUUAUAAGAAAGGUGGGGUAUAAGUCUAACUAACUAACUAAUAAAUAAAUAUCCUCCUUCCCCUGUUUCUUAUGGAAGUGUUGGGAUGCAACUCUACUUGCAAUGGGAAAGAGUAGAUAGAGAGAGGAACCUCCAAGUUUCCCAGACUGCCCUUUCUGUGCUAACCUUCCCUAAGGUAAGAUUUAUACUCUUGCUGACCUCAUUUCCUGCUCCUCCUUCAUCCUUACCUUGGGGACAUGUUUGUAUGUCUGCUGCUGAGAGCACAGAACUUUGUCUCUCCAACGUAGUUAGAACUAGGAUCUGUUCUGUCAAGCAUGUAUAGUGGUACCUCGGGUUACAGAGGCUUCAGGUUACAAACUCCGCUAACCCGGAAAUAGUACCUUGGGUUAAGAACUUUACUUCAGGAUGAGAACAGAAAUCGUGCAGUGGCAGCGGGAGGCCCCAUUAGCUAAAGUGGUACCUCAGGUUAAGAACAGAUUCAGGUUAAGAACGGACCUCCAGAACGAAUUAAGUUCUUAACCCAAGGUACCACUGUAUUUCUUUUAAUAAACUUAGCCUUUGGCUGAUUGACAUCUGGUGGCCUUUUAAAUGUGUUGUGGAAGGGGGAAUUAUUGACUUGUUUUUGUUCUUAUUAUGUACAUAUUUUGUUUUUAUGCUGUAAUUUUAUGUUGUGAACCACCCUAAGAUCUAUGGAUAUAGAGCGGUAUACAAUUAUUAUUAUUAUUAUUAUUAUUAUUAUUAUUAUUAUUAUUAUUAUUUCCCCCUAAACUCAAUGUGAUUACAUCCAGAAAUAGAGUGUGCUUCUCCAGCAGGAAUUCAGUGUUCGGUUCAAACUUCUGCUGAUGCAGUUAAACUCCAAAUGCCAUCCUUUUCUGUUGCAGAUGAAAGAAGAAUACCAUCUCAUUAUUCCAGAGAAGGUCCUGCCCUGCUGCAUGGACACAAAAGCAUGGAUUAAUGAGGGCACAAUCCUCCAAUAAGUUCUCCUGCACAAACCCAAACCGCUGAAAUGAAUGGGCCAUUGGUGCAGCUACCAGUCAUUUCAACGGGCCUUGGAGCCAGUUUCUGUCAUGUGAAAAAUACAUUUUUCUUCCUCUGUUUUUGUACACCUCAGCAAUUUAAUCCCUCUUUCCUCCUUCUGAUUUACAAAUUUAACAGACAGCAACAAGGGCUGGGGGAGGGGAACAUAUUAGAGAAUUACACAUUUGAAAAGAAGAGAGAAGUCCCUCAUCAAAGAUGAGUGCUACAAUAAGGCUUGGAUAAUGUUAGACAAAUGACUAUAGCAUUUAAGAGACAAUAAAACAAUAGACUUUAA